GCAAGUCGAACGGUAACGGGCCUUCGGGUGCCGACGAGUGGCGAACGGGUGAGUAAUGUAUCGGAACGUACCUUUCAGUGGGGGAUAACGUAGCGAAAGUUACGCUAAUACCGCAUAUCCUGUGAGCAGGGAAAGCAGGGGAUCGCAAGACCUUGCGCUGAUUGAGCGGCCGAUAUCAGAUUAGCUAGUUGGUGAGGUAAAAGGCUCACCAAGGCGACGAUCUGUAGCGGGUCUGUAGAGGAUGAUCCGCCACACUGGAACUGAGACACGGUCCAGACUCCUACGGGAGGCAGCAGUGGGGAAUUUUGGACAAUGGGGGCAACCCUGACCCAGCCAUGCCGCGUGAAGUGAAGAAGGCCUUCGGGUUGUAAAGCUCUUUCGGCCGGGAAGAAAUCGUAUGGGUUAAUACCCUGUGCGGAUGACGGUACCGGCAUAAGAAGCACCGGCUAACUACGUG
This 457-nucleotide ribosomal RNA is filed under the name uncultured bacterium. RNAcentral describes it as "bacterial SSU rRNA". It matches the Rfam family "Bacterial small subunit ribosomal RNA", at positions 57 to 507 of the family's 1533-position model. The record is from RNAcentral.